This 275-nucleotide ribosomal RNA is filed under the name uncultured prokaryote. RNAcentral describes it as "partial 16S ribosomal RNA". It matches the Rfam family "Bacterial small subunit ribosomal RNA", at positions 524 to 798 of the family's 1533-position model. The record is from RNAcentral.
UACGUAGGGAGCGAGCGUUGUCCGAAUUCACUGGGCGUAAAGCGCGCGUAGGCGGAUUAAUAAGUUGAUGGUGAAAUCCCGAGGCUCAACCUCGGAAGUGCCUUCAAAACUGUUAGUCUGGAGGUAUGGAGAGGGAAGUGGAAUUCCUGGUGUAGCGGUGAAAUGCGUAGAUAUCAGGAGGAACACCCGUGGCGAAGGCGGCUUCCUGGCCAUAUCCUGACGCUGAGGUGCGAAAGCUAGGGGAGCGAACGGGAUUAGAUACCCGGGUAGUCCCU